RNAcentral lists this transfer RNA (67 nucleotides) under Mancinella alouina. RNAcentral describes it as "tRNA-Trp". The record is from RNAcentral. Lineage: Eukaryota; Metazoa; Mollusca; Gastropoda; Neogastropoda; Muricidae.
AAGGUUUUAAGUUAGUAAAACUAUAAGCCUUCAAAGCUUAAAACAAAAAGACAUUUUUAAACCUUGC